Peromyscus maniculatus bairdii (prairie deer mouse) is the source of this 369-nucleotide non-coding RNA. NCBI's taxonomy places the organism in Eukaryota, Metazoa, Chordata, Mammalia, Rodentia, Cricetidae. The record is from RefSeq and is a predicted model, not a curated record.
ACACAUUUUAUCUUAUAGUUACUUCUCUCCUUUCUGCGACCAAAAUGCAUGACAAGAAACAAUAUCCAGAUCACCCUCAGUGGGCAAAAAUUUGCCACCAGCAAAUGAUCUAGAAGAAAUUCCAGGGUGAUAGAGCAAGUAUGAAUCUUCCCACACACGAGAGGAGACAGGAUCCUGGUGAUGGCAAGAUAUCAUUUAUGAAGACCCCUUCGUAUGUCUUCAGGACAUUUUCAUCUCCUCCCAGAUCCCUAAACACACGUGGCUGUCCCCACCACUGAGCAAGGCUGGCCAGCGAGAAGGGAGGAGCCAGACAUUCAAGGAGGAGCCACCCCCAUAGUCCAACCUACCAGUGACUUCUAGUACCCACUG